UACGUAAGGGUGCAAGCGUUGUCCGGAAUUAUUGGGCGUAAAGAGCUCGUAGGCGGUUCGUCACGUCGGCUGUGAAAUCCCGAGGCUCAACCUCGGGUCUGCAGUCGAUACGGGCGGACUGGAGUACUGCAGGGGAGACUGGAAUUCCUGGUGUAGCGGUGAAAUGCGCAGAUAUCAGGAGGAACACCCGUGGCGAAGGCGGCACUCUGGGACGGUACUGACGCUGAGACGCGAAAGCGUGGGGAGCGAAGCAGG
RNAcentral lists this ribosomal RNA (255 nucleotides) under uncultured bacterium. Its description in RNAcentral is "partial 16S ribosomal RNA". It matches the Rfam family "Bacterial small subunit ribosomal RNA", at positions 524 to 777 of the family's 1533-position model. The record is from RNAcentral.